This is a long non-coding RNA of Cavia porcellus (domestic guinea pig), 5783 nucleotides long. RefSeq lists it as uncharacterized. The transcript has 7 exons. The record is from RefSeq and is a predicted model, not a curated record. Lineage: Eukaryota; Metazoa; Chordata; Mammalia; Rodentia; Caviidae.
CCGGGCUGGGCCGACGGGCCGCUGUGGGCCCCGCAAGAUGGGCGGCCCAUGUGCUGAGAGCCGAGGGUGCUGCGCGCCUGUCUGGUCGCCGCGACCCAUUGUGUGCUGGCCCCCCGGCUGCACGCGCAGCCGCCUCGUGUCCCCGCCCUGCCACGCCGGCCCUCUGCUCGGCUCUGGCCUGCGGCGCUUUCAACGGCAGUCUGUUUUUUGCACUUCAGACCUGGCGGACACCCCUGAGGCCCUGCUCCACUGGGCUCCACAUACUCGAGCACAUCUCUGCUGGCCUAGAUGUCCCAAAAGUCGUUUGGCUGGAAGAGGAUUGAAUCCUGUUAUGCAGUCCAUCUAGCAGGAGCAAAAGGGAAGAAAAUGGAGCCCGACUUCGUGGUGCACGCCUGUAAUCCCAGCACGUGGGAGGCCGAGACCCAAGGGUCAUCAGGAGUUCAAGGCCAAUGUGGACUCCACAGUGUGAUCUUGUCUCAAAAAUAAGGAAAAAAUGGCGGGGAUCAAACUCACGACCUUGUACUUGCCAGAAAGCCCUUAUGCCACCAAACUAAAUCCCCAGCAUUUCAUGGAUUCUGAAUUGUGACUUAUUCAGAUGACAGCCAGCCAUAGUCCUAAAGACACGACAACUGAACAAAGCUAAGCAGCAUCAAGAAAUUAUCCCUAGGCAAGAAAACAACCCUAUUACCUAAACAAAGAAAGAAUAUAAACUAUUAUUAACUGCUGCAAGGCAGGUGCUGAGACAUCCCUGGUCCAAGACAUUUUCUUGAAGUCUAAGAAGGGCAAGAACUAAGUCCUUCAAUUAUUUUAAAUUGUCAACAAUUCGUCAGAAGAAAGAUGAGAACUUCUCUGCCUUCUUAGAUCACUUACAAGAGGCUUUGAUAAAACAUACGCCCCUGGCUCUCGAUCAGACAGAAAGACAUAUUAUUCUUUUUUUUAAUCGGUACCGGGGAUCAAAUGCACGACCAUGCACUUGCAAGGCAGGCGCUUAUGCUGCUGAGCUAAAUCCCCAGCCCUGACAGAUUAUUCUUAAAGACAGGUUUAUAACCCAGUCAGCCUUGGGUGUUAGGAAAGAUGGCUUUUGCUGCAAAGAGCUCACCUGAUGCUUUGGUGAGACUUGCCUCUUCUGGAUUUUAUAAUCCAGACCAGGAGGAGGCCACAGGAAGAAAACAGAGACCAAGAGAAAGUGGCUGCCUCUGCUGCAGACUUAAAAGGAAUAUAUCCUAAGUCUGCUUCUUGGGGCUCCAAGAAAAACCAACUCAUCUACUGCUGCAGAAAACCAGGUCACCUUAGGAGAGAUGGUGGUAAGAACCCUCAUGACAAGAGGCCCCCUGAGCCAUGCCCGGGCAAAAAUGACUACUGGACAUCAGAUGGCCCUCUGAGGUGAAGGCCCCAAGAGUCAGAGCCAUCUUCCCAGCUGGUCCAGCAAGAUUGAGGGGCCCUGGUGCACUCUCUGCCUUCUCCCCUGGCAAGACUGUCAUCUCCAUGAGUCCCGGGUAAUCAGGACUCCAGAGGGAAAAAGAGACCAGCCAUGGUGUGUGUCUCUCAGUCCUUCAGCCCUGGCCCUCCUUCGAGCUGUCAUACCUCAGUGAAAGGAGUCACUGGAGAGAAUGUAACUCACUAUUUCACAACUUUUAGACUGUAACUCGGAUGGCUUUCUUGUCACUCAUUCCUUUUUAAUUAUGCCUGAAAGCCCAGUUCCCCUCCUGGGGAGAAAUAUUUUAUCUUGUUUGAAGACUGUAAUAUACACACACCCAGGUCAGUACAGUGCCUACCCCUCACGGAGCAGAAAUAAAUCCUGAAGAGUGGGCAACUAAAGGCCAAAUAUGGGGCAUCCCAUUCAGAACCCCUCUGAGGUCUCAGGAGCUAUUCCUACUACUCAUUCUCCCAUUCCUUUUCUCCAAUACAUUUUCCUGCCCUAAAAUAAAUAAAUAUAAAUAUGGAGAAGGAAGAGCAAAGAGACCUGCCCCAGAGCAGACACAGCUCAAAGAUCCUACUACUUUUUCCCCACUGGAGACAAUACCCUCCAAGACCUGAAGUUAAAAGAAUUAUUGUGUAAAAUCAAUAAGUUAAGGCACAAGGUCUACUAAAUACUGCAGUAGCUCGUGCAACACUCCAGUCUUAGGAUAACCCAGUGGAGUGCAGAGGUGGGUACCGGCCCCAGACUGAUGAAUGAUAUAGGAGUGCCAGUCUGCACAGUGGCAUCGAACCUGCACAUGCCCCUUUCUUGGAUCCCAGAAGAUGUCGGUCGGUUUUCAGUGUUACAGUUAAAAGAUGCCUUCUUUUGUAUUCUGUUACAUACAGAUUCCUGGUUUCUUUUUGCCUUUGAAGAUUCUUACAACCAGGCCUCUCAGCUGGCAUGGACUGUGCUUCCUCAUGGGUUUAGAGACAGGUGGAAGGCACAACUUCACAGCCUGGAGGACAAUAAGAGCCUGGAAAAGACCAUUGGCUACUACACUGUUGGAUGACAGCAGUAGACACCAGCCCAAUGCAAAGAGGGGUCGGAGCCAGGUGUGGUGCAACCUGUAGUCCCAGCACUCAGGAGGCCACCGCAGGAGAAUCGCCACAAGUAGGAGGCCAAGCUGGGAGUCCUGCACCCAGAAGCCCAGCCCCACGGCUCGAAGGAAAGGGACAGUCUUCAUGCCCUCCACUGAUCUUUCAGAUGGGACUCAGACUUACGAGAAAGGCCAGCUCCAGGGACACCUCCGACUCCGACCCCAGGUGCAACCCCGACUCCGGGUCCAACGCCAUAGCCAGGAAAGCCCCCGGGCCCAGCUCCAUAGGUGGGGAUGCCCCCAACUCCCACUCUGGCCCCGGCCCCUGCAGAGGGAAAGAAUGGGGGGAAUGGGCCUUGGAGAGAGAGGUUGGAGGGGGGUUGCUGGCUGCUGGGAAGGAGGGUGCAUGUGACCCCCAGGUCUGGUUGAUGAGGAAGUGGGUGUCCGAGCUCCUGGCCAGUCUUCUCCAUGAGGCCUCACUCUCCCCCACUUCUCUGUUCUCUAGAUGCUUGGGAAAGGGUCAGGAGACAGUGCGGGCUUCUCCCAGCUGGGCUUGGCCACCUCUGGGGAGCCAGUCAGAACCAGGAGAGGCAGGGACGUUGUCCCCACUGGAGGUCUCGUCCUCAGACUGUCAGCCCCACAGCUUUAUGGUGGACAAAACUGGAGGAGACACCAUCCCAGGCCCCAGCAGGUCUAAGUUCCAGCUCCCAGGAACUUUCUCUGUGACCCCGGGGAAGAAAGUAGUGAGAGGCCAGGUCAGGCUAGGGCAAAGCACUCACCAUAUUUAGCUGCUUUGGCCGCUGCUUUAGCAGCUGCAGCUGGCCCGAGAGGCCCUAGAGAGAUCAGGAAGACAGAAAUGUUCAGGAGAGAAUGGAGGAGACAUGUCCAGGACAUCCCCGUGUCUACCCAUCUGUCACUUCAUCUUGCUGUCUAUCCAGCCAAUAUGGACUUGUUUUCCCAAACAUACACCCACUAUCCCAACUCUGUGUCUGUCUGGUCAUUUGUCCCAGUCCAUGCAUCCAGCCACCCAACUGUCUACCCACACACUCAUCUAUCCGCCCACUCACCUGCCCACCUGUCCACUUUUUAGCCCUCUAUUCAACCACCCAUUUUGGAUUCACCUGUCUCCUACCCACCUAUUUAUCCAUCCACCCCCAUCCGUCCAUACAGCCAUCCCUCCUGUGACCCACUAGUCCAGCCUGCUGCCUGCUUAGCUGUCUGUUUUUCUUCUACUCAUUCAGUUUUUCAUCUAUCUGUGUACCUCUCUGUCUAUCUAUGGACCACCUAUUCUUGUCUCUGCGCAUCUGUCUACUCAUCUACUCCCUCAUCUGUCAUUUUGUCUGCUCAUUUUGUCACCAGGUGCCCAUCUGCCCUUCUGUUCUCCCCCCGCCCCCGUCUGCACCAUUUAAUACUGAGCACCUGCUCAGCCAAGGGCAGGGAAUGUGGAGAUAAAACACAGCUCCUGCCCCCAGAAGCACAUUGACUUGGAAAGUAAGUUGAGGACAAUGAUGCUGGUGGCAGUUAAUUGAGAGACUGUUGUAACUCAUGGGAGGAGGAUGAGGGAAUGAAUCAUGCCCAGGAUGUGAGCAAAGGAGAAGGGGUGGGAAGCAUGCGACAGUCUUGGCCCUAGUUUUUAUAUUGCUGUAUUACUUACUCUCUUUCUCUCUCUAACUCACCUGCUCCAUCUGCGAUGCCUGGGACCCCGACACCUGGGACUCCAACACCUGGGACUCCAACACCUGGAACGCCGACACCUGGGACGCCGACACCUGGGACCCCGACACCUGGGACGCCAACACCUGGGACGCCAACACCUGGGACGCCAACACCUGGGACCCCAACACCUGGGACCCUAGGCACCAGGCCUCCAGCAGCUCCUGAGGACAGAAAAGCAUUGUUUUCCUGCUGAUCCCUGUGGGAACCUACUCAGGCCUCCUGGGCAGUGGUCCAGGGGAGCUGUGGGGUGACAGGAUCACAUGCAGGUGCAUGGAGCCAGCUUAUCAGUGAGAUGGGGAGGGACCGAGAGAGAUCCCAAGGAGUUCUUGAGGUUGCAUCUGCAGCUAGGCAGAGUGUGAUCAACUUCUAAAGCAAAACCAGAACAGCUGACAGUAAGCAGCAGGGCAGGGGAUUGAAGAGCAGCUGGCAGGUUGGGGGAGGCAGGGUGAGCAGAGCAGGUACACCCAGGGUCCCCUCUGGAGUUAUCCUGCAGAACCAGGAGGUGGCAUCUCAGGUAGAGAAUGGGCAAAGGCAAGGAGGUGUGGACCACACCCAUAGAGAAGGGACGGGACGGAGGCAGCCAGGUGGAUGGAGGCGGUCUCCCAGCCUCGUGUGGGCUGGGGUCUCUGGAGCCCUGGGCCUGGCACGCUGGGGACACUCACCGUACUUGGCAGCCUUCGCAGCGGCAGCUGCUGCAGGAGUCCCAGCCCCUGAAAAGACAGCCACAGGCAAUGAAGCCCUUUCCUAGGGGUCCUCCCAAGGAUACCCCCAGCCUCAGACCCAGCGCUACCUGCGAUGCCUCCAAUCCCGGGGAUGGCACCGGCGCCGCCUGGGAUGCCGCCCCCUCCAAUGCCAGGAAUGACUCCUGCUCCUCCAGCACCUGCAGGGAUGGGGAGGCAGGCUGUGGCUCCCUGGGGCCCUUGCUGAGGCCGGCCAGGAAGACUCCUGGGGAGCCAGGCAGGCGCAUGAAUGCGACCCAGCACCGCUGCGCUGGGAGCCCCACCUCAGCAGGCUCAUUAAGGGAGUUGAUGCUUCAGGUCAGAUCCACUCUAAUGACUGCCGAAUACUGAGAAACCACAAGCUGCCGCUCCCCGGGCCAGAGGGGCCCCCAAAGGAAUGUGCAAGGCUUCCUCUCCCUGUGUUCCAAAGAUGCAGCCAAGCUUCUAAACCGAGCGCCAGGCUCUGGCUGCUCCUCAUGGCCGCCUGCCUGCUCCUACAUUCCAUCCUUCGCCACCGGCCCAGCUGGCCAAGGGGCCUGGGGCAGGGAGCUGCACUGGGGGGGGGGGGCAGGGUCUCCCUCCUGCCCAUCCCCUGGGCUGGUGGGACAGGCCUUCCAGCCCACCCAGGGAAGGGAAGGACCCCCGGGGGCUGAGGACCAGCGGAAGACUGCAGCCUCCCAUGCUCGACCCCAAGCUGGAGGGCAUCCGCAGUUCUGCCAACUGUUUGGGCACGGGAUGGCAUGCCACAUCGGCAGCAGCGCUGUCCAGGACACCGUGGCUUGUGGACCAAGUUACGUUUUUAUAGUACAUGUUAAAUCAAUGUGUAACUAUUAAAAUUUAAAUGCCUGUAUAA